This 710-nucleotide ribosomal RNA is filed under the name Shewanella baltica. RNAcentral describes it as "bacterial SSU rRNA". It matches the Rfam family "Bacterial small subunit ribosomal RNA", at positions 56 to 754 of the family's 1533-position model. Lineage: Bacteria; Pseudomonadati; Pseudomonadota; Gammaproteobacteria; Alteromonadales; Shewanellaceae. The record is from RNAcentral.
UGCAGUCGAGCGGCAGCGGGAAGAUAGCUUGCUAUCUUUGCCGGCGAGCGGCGGACGGGUGAGUAAUGCCUAGGGAUCUGCCCAGUCGAGGGGGAUAACAGUUGGAAACGACUGCUAAUACCGCAUACGCCCUACGGGGGAAAGGAGGGGACCUUCGGGCCUUCCGCGAUUGGAUGAACCUAGGUGGGAUUAGCUAGUUGGUGAGGUAAUGGCUCACCAAGGCGACGAUCCCUAGCUGUUCUGAGAGGAUGAUCAGCCACACUGGGACUGAGACACGGCCCAGACUCCUACGGGAGGCAGCAGUGGGGAAUAUUGCACAAUGGGGGAAACCCUGAUGCAGCCAUGCCGCGUGUGUGAAGAAGGCCUUCGGGUUGUAAAGCACUUUCAGUAGGGAGGAAAGGUAGCAGCUUAAUACGCUGUUGCUGUGACGUUACCUACAGAAGAAGGACCGGCUAACUCCGUGCCAGCAGCCGCGGUAAUACGGAGGGUCCGAGCGUUAAUCGGAAUUACUGGGCGUAAAGCGUGCGCAGGCGGUUUGUUAAGCGAGAUGUGAAAGCCCCGGGCUCAACCUGGGAAUUGCAUUUCGAACUGGCGAACUAGAGUCUUGUAGAGGGGGGUAGAAUUCCAGGUGUAGCGGUGAAAUGCGUAGAGAUCUGGAGGAAUACCGGUGGCGAAGGCGGCCCCCUGGACAAAGACUGACGCUCAGGCAC